CGACCUCGGAUCAGGCGAGACUACCCGCUAGAUUUAAGCAUAUCAGCAAGCGGAGGAAAAGAAACUAACUAGGAUUCCCUCAGUAGCGGCGAGCGAACAGGGAGGAGCCCAGCACCGAACCCCGUCGGCGGGAGCCGUCGACCGGGGAAUGUGGUGUUCGGGAGGAUCCGAUCAUCCCGCUCGCGGUUCUCCGAGCGUCGGCCUUCGGGUCGGCGCCCGGGGCCCGUGCACGGUCCAAAUGCAGCGAGUGGGCCUAAAAAACCCCGUCCUGGAACGGCUUCCCCCGUUAUCGGAUUCCGUAGAGGGUGAAAGACCCGUGGAGGCCGGCACGGAGCGGCGGGAGGAUCUCUCCUAAGAGUCGGGUCGCUUGGUAGUGCAGCCCUAAGAGGUGGUAAACUCCAUCUAAGGCUAAACAUCGCCGCGAGACCGAUAGAGGACAAGUACCGUUCGGGAAAGUUGAAAAGGACUCUGCAGAGAGAGUUAAAGAGUACGUGAAACCGUUCGGGGGUUCGGCACAGAACAAACGGUCGGGGCUCGGGCGAGACCCUCCGGGCAGGAGGAUCCGUCAGCCGUCCCGAGGCCCGCGGGCCGUCUGCGCGCUUGCUUGCGUUACAGCUUGCGAGGGGUUGCCCUGGGCCUAACCAUGAGCGUUGACGAUGCGGCCCGCGGAGCGCGGGGCGGCGGCCAUGAACGGAGCCCUCGCGGCCACCUCGAUCCCCGCCCGCGGAGGCACCCGCGACUCGCGGUGCGGCGGUCCGCCCGUGGAGGCCCCCCUCGGGGGUCACCUCCGCGGGAGCCGGUCUUCGCCAGGCACCGCGGUCGAGAAUCGGCCGGGCGGCGCCUUCGGGCGCUCGUGCCCGGUCGGCGGGAGAUCUACCGGGACCCCUACCGACCCGUCUUGAAACACGGACCAAGGAGUCUAGCGUGCGCGCGAGUCAUCGGGAACACGUACUAAACCCCGAGGCGCAAUGAAAGUGAGCGCUCAGCGCAAGGGACGAAACAACGGGGCCGGGGGAAACGGGGGCAACUCCGCGCGUACCCCGGCGGUGUCCGUCCUAGCUGCGGCCCGUUGCAGCAAUCCCGGGGCGCCGAGCAGAUACCCGCCACCCAGGGCGGCGAGCGAGGCGCUCUCGAAGCGUGCACGGUAGGACCCGAAAGAUGGUGAACUAUGCCCGGCCAGGACGAAACCAGGGGAAACCCUGGCGGAGGUCCGCAGCGGUUCUGACGUGCAAAUCG
Molecule: non-coding RNA, 1236 nt
Filed under: Vigna radiata var. radiata (mung bean)
Lineage: Eukaryota; Viridiplantae; Streptophyta; Magnoliopsida; Fabales; Fabaceae
Description: Eukaryotic large subunit ribosomal RNA
Rfam family: Eukaryotic large subunit ribosomal RNA
Source: Rfam by way of RNAcentral